This 784-nucleotide ribosomal RNA is filed under the name uncultured bacterium. RNAcentral's name for it is "bacterial SSU rRNA". It matches the Rfam family "Bacterial small subunit ribosomal RNA", at positions 8 to 759 of the family's 1533-position model. The record is from RNAcentral.
AGAGUUUGAUCCUGGCUCAGGACGAACGCUGGCGGCGUGCCUAAUACAUGCAAGUCGAACGCUUCUUUCCUCCCGAGUGCUUGCACUCAAUUGGAAAGAGGAGUGGCGGACGGGUGAGUAACACGUGGGUAACCUACCCAUCAGAGGGGGAUAACACUUGGAAACAGGUGCUAAUACCGCAUAACAGUUUAUGCCGCAUGGCAUAAGAGUGAAAGGCGCUUUCGGGUGUCGCUGAUGGAUGGACCCGCGGUGCAUUAGCUAGUUGGUGAGGUAACGGCUCACCAAGGCCACGAUGCAUAGCCGACCUGAGAGGGUGAUCGGCCACACUGGGACUGAGACACGGCCCAGACUCCUACGGGAGGCGGCAGUAGGGAAUCUUCGGCAAUGGACGAAAGUCUGACCGAGCAACGCCGCGUGAGUGAAGAAGGUUUUCGGAUCGUAAAACUCUGUUGUUAGAGAAGAACAAGGACGUUAGUAACUGAACGUCCCCUGACGGUAUCUAACCAGAAAGCCACGGCUAACUACGUGCCAGCAGCCGCGGUAAUACGUAGGUGGCAAGCGUUGUCCGGAUUUAUUGGGCGUAAAGCGAGCGCAGCGGUUUCUUAAGUCUGAUGUGAAAGCCCCCGGCUCACCCCGGGGAAGGGUCAUUGGGAACUGGGAGAACUUGAGUGCAGAAGAAGGAAAGUGGAAUUCCUUGUGUAGCGGUGAAAUGCGUAGUUAUAUAUGGAGGAACAUAAGUGGCGAAGCGGCUCUCUGGUCUGUAACUGACGCUGAAGCUCGAAAG